AUGAAUCAAGAUGUUGGAAAUCAACAAGAAGAACAAGAAUUUGACAAUCCCUCUUAUGGUUAUAAUAAAGACAACCAUUAUUUGGUGGUAUGGUCAUGGAGUGGAGAAAUGACUUAUCUAAAAAAGUCACAAAAACAUUUAACAAAAACAUUUAAUAUUGCUUGUGGAUCAACACCAUUUAGAUUGAUCAGUACUAUAAAGAAUUGA
Vicia faba (fava bean) is the source of this 207-nucleotide non-coding RNA. NCBI's taxonomy places the organism in Eukaryota, Viridiplantae, Streptophyta, Magnoliopsida, Fabales, Fabaceae. The record is from the annotation of a GenBank genome assembly.